This 360-nucleotide ribosomal RNA is filed under the name uncultured archaeon. Its description in RNAcentral is "bacterial SSU rRNA". It matches the Rfam family "Archaeal small subunit ribosomal RNA", at positions 510 to 870 of the family's 1478-position model. The record is from RNAcentral.
CUAAAACGUCCGUAGCCGGUCUGAUACAUUCGUGGGUAAAUCAACCAGCUUAACUGGUUGAAUUCUGCGAGGACGGUCAGACUUGGGACCGGGAGAGGUGUGGGGUACGCUCAGGGUAGGGGUAAAAUCCUGUCAUCCUGAGCGGACCACCUGUUGCGAAGGCGCCACACUAGAACGGAUCCGACGGUCAGGGACGAAGCCUAGGGGCACGAACCGGAUUAGAUACCCGGGUAGUCCUAGGUGUAAACGCUGUGGACUUGAUGUUGGGGGUGCUCCGAGCACUCUCAGUGUCGAAGCGAAGGUGAUAAGUCCACUGCCUGGGAAGUACGGUCGCAAGGCUGAAACUUAAAGGAAUUGGCG